This 1530-nucleotide long non-coding RNA is filed under the name Monodelphis domestica (gray short-tailed opossum). RNAcentral's name for it is "lncRNA (ENSMODG00000044785.1)". Lineage: Eukaryota; Metazoa; Chordata; Mammalia; Didelphimorphia; Didelphidae. The record is from RNAcentral.
GGGAAUUCUGGGAAACACCAAGGACUUCUGGGGAUUGAAGUCUGGGGUUCAAAAUCUCCAUUUAUACAUAGGACAUGAGUCAACAUGAUUGGCAAUGGCCUGUGAUGCAGUACUUGGUAUCUUCCAUGUCUAACCUAGCUCUAAGUGCUCUACAGGGCAUGCUUCAGCCAUCAUCUUGGCUGUUGGUACACAUUGGUUUCAUCUCUCUAUUCCAGUAGGGGGGCCUUCACACCUGGCCAUUUUAGGUACUUCUGGACUGGGCCAUUCUGCCAGAUGGGAUGGUCACAAAACCUGGCAUGGACUCCUGCUUUUGGACCUCUUAUGACUUGCCAUUCUGACCUUUCAAAGCUUACUGGUCAUCUGUGAGGGCCACCACUGGUAUGAAGACUUACUAAGCCCUUUUCAGGGCUGCUCAUCUACAUUUGGUAUCCACCUUUCACUCAACUCUCACCUGUGGCACCAGGAAGCCAUAGCAUACAGAGCAGCCACACCCAGCCAGGAAAGGCUCCUGGAUUCUGGGCAGACCUGGGCUGUGAAUUUUCUAUCAUCAAGAGCAGAAAAGAGGAAAAACAGAAUAAAAAUUCUUGGAGAUAACUUCUGAAAUAAUUAAAAGACCAGCUGGUUGAAAAAGAUUUGCCUGAAAUUCCAAGCCUGAAUGGAGCAGGGAGCUAACUUGAAGGAUGCUAUGGCUUUCUUCACUUUGAUAAGAACACCCAAACCACCAAACAACCUUAAAGGUCUAACAAACAGGAUACUGGAAGGAAUAUCACACCUGAGCAUUGAGGAUCUUUGCAAUUGAGAGACGAUCUUUUUGGUUAAGGGAAGUCCUCCAAGCUCUGCACAUACUUCUUUCAUCUUUUCUUUUCCUAAGAUUCACCUCAUAACCUUAAAACAUAGCCCCUUCUGAAGAUGUCUGAUGGGAGGAGAGAAUCCCCCAUACCCUCAAAAAUCUAGCAAUCUGAAACCACAGACAAAAGGGAGAUAUUUGUGUGGGGAAAAGCACAAGAACAAGAGAGACAGACCAUGUGGCCAGGACAAGGAAGUUAUACAGCUAGUCUUUGGUUUUAUGAUCUAUCCUAAGAGUUCACACCUGCCUAAUUAAAACAAAACAAAUACAAGGAGUCUACACUUUGCUGAAGAAUUUACACCUUGUCAUAUAUAUUUACUAUUUAUCCUUAGGUUGAAAAUUCUUUAAAUGUAAGAACUUUGAGAGAGGUGUGUUUACUUACUUUCCAGAAUCACAAAAUGGCUGAGGAAUUUCUUUGUCCAAUUUAUGCCUAGAGAAGAAGCCCAACACUACUCUCCCUUCCAAGAGUUCCUCUAGACUAACCCCAGUGAGGGAGAACCCAAAGUCUACUAAUUUCCAACUCUAAUUCCGGUAUUCUAAUUGAUCCCCUUACAUCCAUUUUCUUUAUACUACAAUUCAUUCUCCAUUUGGUUUCCAAAGUAAUUUUUCUAAACCAUAGCUCUGAACAUAUAUUCCCAUACCUAUUAAAUAAAUUCGAGAAAAGACAAGAUUUAAUAUGAAAG